AUCAUAGCGAGGAAAGAAACCAACAGGGAUUACCUCAGUAACGGCGAGUGAAGCGGUAACAGCUCAAAUUUGAAAUCUGGCGCUCUCAGCGUCCGAGUUGUAAUUUGUAGAAGAUGCUUUGGGUGUGGCUCCGGUCUAAGUUCCUUGGAACAGGACGUCAUAGAGGGUGAGAAUCCCGUAUGUGACUGGCGGCCUUCGCCCGUGUAAAGCUCUUUCGACGAGUCGAGUUGUUUGGGAAUGCAGCUCUAAAUGGGAGGUAUAUUUCUUCUAAAGCUAAAUAUUGGCCAGAGACCGAUAGCGCACAAGUAGAGUGAUCGAAAGAUGAAAAGCACUUUGGAAAGAGAGUUAAACAGUACGUGAAAUUGUUGAAAGGGAAGCGCUUGCAACCAGACUUGCCUGCCGUCGAUCAUCCUGGGUUCUCCCUGGUGCACUCGGCGGUGGUCAGGCCAGCAUCGGUUUCGGUGGUGGGAUAAAGGCCUUGGGAACGUAGCUCCUCUCGGGGAGUGUUAUAGCCCUCGGUGCAAUGCCGCCUACCGGGACCGAGGACCGCGCUUCGGCUAGGAUGCUGGCGUAAUGGUUGUAAGCGACCCGUCUUGAAACACGGACCAAGGAGUCUAACAUCUAUGCGAGUGUUUGGGUGCUAAACCCAUACGCGUAAUUAACGUGAACGGAGGUGAGAACCCUUUAGGGUGCAUCAUCGACCGAUCCUGAUGUCUUCGGAUGGAUUUGAGUAAGAGCAUAGCUGUUGGGACCCGAAAGAUGGUGAACUAUGCCUAAAUAGGGUGAAGCCAGAGGAAACUCUGGUGGAGGCUCGCAGCGGUUCUGACGUGCAAAUCGAUCGUCAAAUUUGGGUAUAGGGGCGAAAGACUAAUCGAACCAUUGGAACGUACUAGGUGGGCAAAAGCUAGGCCUCCAGAGGGCCUAGCUAGUUCGCGGCAGCGCGAGCGACACUGUCAAAUUGCGGGGACCUCCCGACGACGCAUCGCUACCGCAGCCCUGGCGAAAGCCAGGGCGCGCACCGGGUUAACGACCCUGGGGAUGGUAAGAACGCGAUGCCGAGGGACGACCUGCAGCCAAGCCCUAGCCACGGGUGCAGUUCACAGACUAAAUGUCAGUGGGGCUCUCCGCCUUAAGUCAUAGUCGAUCCCCCCAGGCAACCUGGGGG
RNAcentral lists this ribosomal RNA (1165 nucleotides) under Hymenoscyphus sp. RNAcentral describes it as "partial large subunit ribosomal RNA". It matches the Rfam family "Eukaryotic large subunit ribosomal RNA", at positions 45 to 1151 of the family's 3401-position model. Lineage: Eukaryota; Fungi; Ascomycota; Leotiomycetes; Helotiales; Helotiaceae. The record is from RNAcentral.